UUUGUCUUCUUCCCAAAAGAG
This 21-nucleotide non-coding RNA is filed under the name Caenorhabditis elegans. The record is from RNAcentral. Lineage: Eukaryota; Metazoa; Nematoda; Chromadorea; Rhabditida; Rhabditidae.